Non-coding RNA from Cinara cedri, 652 nucleotides. NCBI's taxonomy places the organism in Eukaryota, Metazoa, Arthropoda, Insecta, Hemiptera, Aphididae. The record is from the annotation of a GenBank genome assembly.
AUCAUUAUCAACCGAAUCCAUAAGUUCAUAUACUAAAAAUAAAAAUUGUAAUAAAAGUAAAAAUAAUCUUUAGAAUUUAAAAAUGUUGACAACGUUAACAAUAAUUGUUAACAUUUUUAGGAAAACUUUAUUGGGUAGUCACCUAUAUUGGAUCGUUUUUUACACUUUGUUAUCUGUAACGAAUUGGUCCAAACUAUUAAUGCUGUAUAUUUGCAUUAAACAAUACCUGAACAUGUAAAUUACAAUUUUUUUUUUAUUAUUUAAAAAUGGUUCAACAUAAGUCUGAUCAGUUGCUUAAUUUAAACCAAAUGAAUUUUCAAUUCAACCAUUGUAUUACAUUCUUAUAAUUAGUAAAAUCUGUCAUCAUCUAACUUAAACAUGUAAGCUUUUAUAUUAACUGAUUUUUAAAAAGUACAAUUUUUAUUUAACAUUUUUAUUUUAUAUAACAAAAUGCCAGUCGACAGGUGAUUUUCUGCUACAUUAUUUACUGGUGGAGCCUCCAAGAGAGAAUAUCCUUGAAACAGAAUGCUUAAAUGUAAUAAUACGUCGAAAUUGAUGAAAAGUUACAAAGUGAUUAUUUAAUAAUACACGUGCUAUGUUUUUUUUUUUAGUCUAUUAUAGAUAAUUGUCAUAAUUUUUAUUUUUUGUGAGA